GAUUAACCAAGCAGGACCAUCCAUGUACCAUUGCUACGUGGUGCAGACUUAGUGUCACCUAAACCCAAUGACACUAGGGUAACGGUCCUUUACAAUCCCUCAUGUUUAUCAAACCAUCAAAUGUAUAUUUCAAAACACAAUCCAUCAACAAUUCAAAUAUCCAAGUCAUAUAAUGUUUCAUAAGUAGAUUGAUGACAACUUUAUAACAACAAUUAUUUAGCAUAAGAUCUAUUUUAAGAAUUCAUGGUGUAACCACAAAGUAUAUUAGUAUGGAAGAUUUCAAAGUAAUAACCAUAUCACAUAGAUUAAAAUCAUUCACCUGAGGUCCACACUAACGCACUCUAGCAUGGAAUUCAAGGCAUCAAGCUUUAUCACCGCCUAAAACAAAGCACAAUUCCAUAUUUAGGUUUCUCUCGAUAAAUUCACAUACCCAAAACUCUCAUAAGUCUCCCACAACGACAUUUAAUGAGAAUCAAACCGUCGAUCAAAGGUAUGGUCCAUGAUCUUACAUCACUUGCUCCAUAAGAUCCAACCACUAGAUUUUCACUAGUAAGUCCCUAUGGUCCUUAACAAUAUCUACAAUAGCAUACUAAAAUUUGGUGUCAAUUCAAUGGUAAGAUCGUCAAUUGUUAAAAUAUUCAAGUGG
RNAcentral lists this long non-coding RNA (646 nucleotides) under Malus domestica (apple). RNAcentral describes it as "long non-coding RNA (MDOM_LNC000539)". The record is from RNAcentral. Lineage: Eukaryota; Viridiplantae; Streptophyta; Magnoliopsida; Rosales; Rosaceae.